UGCCAUUUUUAUCCCAUUUCUGAUCCUGGUUUUAUCCUGUUUCUGAUCCCAUUUCUGAUCCCAUUUUCCCAUUUCUGGUCCCAUGUUUUUCCCAUUUCUGAUCCUGUUUUUAUCCCAUUUCUGGUCCCAUUCCUGACCCCACAUUCCCAUUUCUGACCCCAUUCCUGAUCUCAUUUUCCCAUUUCUGGUCCCAUUUUUAUCCUGUUUUUGAUCCCAUUUCUGACCCCAUUUUUCCUAUUUCUGAUCCCGUUUUUGAUCCCCUUUCUGACCCCAUUUCUGAUCCCAUAUUCCCAUUUCUGAUCCCAUUUUCCCCUUUCUGAUCCCAUUUUUGAUCCCAUUUCCGAUCUCAUUUUUUUCCUGUUUAUGAUCCCAUUUUCCCAUUUCUGAUCCCAUUUCUGGUCCCAUUUUAAUCCUGUUUCUGAUCCCAUUUUUAUCCCAUUUCUAACUCCAUUUCCCCCAUUUCCCCCCAGAGACGCCGCUGACGCUGCUGCAGCUGUACCGCCUCUCGGUGCACAGAGCCACUGGGACCUGCACAUCCCUGACCCCAUUUCUGAUCCCACAUUCCCAUUUCUGGUCCCAUUUUUAUCCUGUUUUUGAUCCCAUUUCUGAUACCCUAUUCCCGUUUCUGGUCCUGUUUUUAUCCCAUCUCUGACCCCACAUUCCCAUUUCUGACCCCAUUUCUGA
RNAcentral lists this long non-coding RNA (684 nucleotides) under Zonotrichia albicollis (white-throated sparrow). RNAcentral describes it as "lncRNA (ENSZALG00000000673.1)". The record is from RNAcentral. Lineage: Eukaryota; Metazoa; Chordata; Aves; Passeriformes; Passerellidae.